RNAcentral lists this signal recognition particle RNA (266 nucleotides) under Jaculus jaculus (lesser Egyptian jerboa). Its description in RNAcentral is "Metazoan signal recognition particle RNA (ENSJJAG00000006759.1)". It matches the Rfam family "Metazoan signal recognition particle RNA", at positions 1 to 263 of the family's 299-position model. Rfam says of the family: The signal recognition particle (SRP) is a universally conserved ribonucleoprotein. It is involved in the co-translational targeting of proteins to membranes. The eukaryotic SRP consists of a 300-nucleotide 7S RNA and six proteins: SRPs 72, 68, 54, 19, 14, and 9. The record is from RNAcentral. Lineage: Eukaryota; Metazoa; Chordata; Mammalia; Rodentia; Dipodidae.
GCUGGGCAUGGUGGCCCAUGGCUGUAGUGCCAGCUACUCAGGAGGCUGAGUCAGGAGAUCACAUGAGGCCAGGAGCUCUGGCCUGCACGGAGCGAUGCCGAUUAGGUGUCUGCACUAAGUUCAACAUCAGUAUGGUAAGCUCCCAGGAGUGGGGGACCACCAGGUUCCCUAAGGAGGGGUGAACAGGCCCAGGUCAGAAAUAGAGGAGGUCAAAACUCCCAUGCUGAUCAAGAUACAGGCAUAAGCAGGAAUUUUAUUACAAUUCU